RNAcentral lists this ribosomal RNA (579 nucleotides) under uncultured bacterium. Its description in RNAcentral is "bacterial SSU rRNA". It matches the Rfam family "Bacterial small subunit ribosomal RNA", at positions 102 to 677 of the family's 1533-position model. The record is from RNAcentral.
ACGGGUGAGUAAUGUCUGGGGAUCUGCCCGAUAGAGGGGGAUAACCACUGGAAACGGUGGCUAAUACCGCAUAACGUCGCAAGACCAAAGAGGGGGACCUUAGGGCCUCUCACUAUCGGAUGAACCCAGAUGGGAUUAGCUAGUAGGCGGGGUAAUGGCCCACCUAGGCGACGAUCCCUAGCUGGUCUGAGAGGAUGACCAGCCACACUGGAACUGAGACACGGUCCAGACUCCUACGGGAGGCAGCAGUGGGGAAUAUUGCACAAUGGGCGCAAGCCUGAUGCAGCCAUGCCGCGUGUAUGAAGAAGGCCUUCGGGUUGUAAAGUACUUUCAGCGGGGAGGAAGGCGGUGAGGCUAAUAACCUUGCCGAUUGACGUUACCCGCAGAAGAAGCACCGGCUAACUCCGUGCCAGCAGCCGCGGUAAUACGGAGGGUGCAAGCGUUAAUCGGAAUUACUGGGCGUAAAGCGCACGCAGGCGGUCUGUUAAGUCAGAUGUGAAAUCCCCGGGCUUAACCUGGGAACUGCAUUUGAAACUGGCAGGCUUGAGUCUCGUAGAGGGGGGUAGAAUUCCAGGUGUA